GCUUAACACAUGCAAGUCGAACGAUAUAGUGGCAGACGGGUGAGUACGCGUGGAAACGUGCCUUUCACUACGGAAUAGUUCCGGGAAACUGGAAUUAAUACCGUAUACGCCCUCCGGGGGAAAGAUUUAUCGGUGAAAGAUCGGUCCGCGUUAGAUUAGAUAGUUGGUGGGGUAAUGGCCUACCAAGUCUACGAUCUAUAGCUGGUCUGAGAGGAUGAUCAGCCACACUGGGACUGAGACACGGCCCAGACUCCUACGGGAGGCAGCAGUGGGGAAUCUUGCACAAUGGGCGAAAGCCUGAUGCAGCCAUGCCGCGUGAAUGAUGAAGGCCUUAGGGUUGUAAAAUUCUUUCGCUAGGGAUGAUAAUGACGGUACCUAGUAAAGAAGCCCCGGCUAACUUCGUGCAGCAGCCCGGUAUACGAAGGGGGCUAGCGUUGUUCGGAAUUCUGGCGUAAAGCGCGCGUAGCGGACUACCAGUUGAUGUGAAUCCAGGCUCAC
RNAcentral lists this ribosomal RNA (498 nucleotides) under uncultured prokaryote. Its description in RNAcentral is "bacterial SSU rRNA". It matches the Rfam family "Bacterial small subunit ribosomal RNA", at positions 46 to 612 of the family's 1533-position model. The record is from RNAcentral.